GAUGAACGCUGGCGGCGUGCUUAAUACAUGCAAGUCGAGCGAACGGACGCGAAGCUUGCUUCUCUGAUGUUAGGGGCGGACGGGUGAGUAACACGUGUAUAAUCUACUUAUCUGACUGGGAUCACCUCGGGAAACCGGCGCUAAUACCGGAUGAUAUUCUGCACCGCAUGGUUCAAUAGUGAAAGACGGUCUUGCUGUCACUUCUCGAUGGAUCUGAGCUGCAUUAGCUAGUUGGUAAGGUAACGGCUUACCAAGGCAACGAUGCAUAGCCGACCUGAUAGGGUGGUCGGCCACCCGAGAGCGUAGACGCGGUCCAUACGCCUGCGGGAGGCAGCAGUAUGGAAUGUGCCGCAGUGGUCGAAAGCCUUACGGAGCGGCGCCGCGUGUGUGAUGAAGAUCUUCGGAGCGUAAAGCCCGGUUAUGAGGGAAAAACAUAUGUGGAAUGAACUGUGCACAUCGUGACGGUACCUAGUCAGAAAGCCACGGCUAACUACGUG
RNAcentral lists this ribosomal RNA (497 nucleotides) under uncultured bacterium. RNAcentral describes it as "partial 16S ribosomal RNA". It matches the Rfam family "Bacterial small subunit ribosomal RNA", at positions 28 to 507 of the family's 1533-position model. The record is from RNAcentral.